Molecule: long non-coding RNA, 217 nt
Filed under: Elaeis guineensis (African oil palm)
Lineage: Eukaryota; Viridiplantae; Streptophyta; Magnoliopsida; Arecales; Arecaceae
Description: long non-coding RNA (EGUI_LNC034097)
Source: RNAcentral
AAUAGAGGAGGAAAGAGAGAAAAUAAAAGAGAGAAGAGAGGGAGAGAGAGAACAUUACCAGCUAUAUUUACAGAACCAAUUCAUAAGUAACAAAAAUUUUACUCUAAGUAAGAGAAAUAUUUAUAAGUAAGAGCAUCCAUACAGUUCCGUUCAUAAGGAAGAGAACCCCUGCUCUAAUAAUGGGCCGAUUGAAAUUGCUAGAAUACACGGAGAGAGA